ACGGAAGGCAGCAGUGAGGAAUAUUGGUCAAUGGACGGAAGUCUGAACCAGCCAUGCCGCGUGAAGGAAUAAGGCCCUAUGGGUCGUAAACUUCUUUUGAGUGGGAGCAAUAAGGUGCACGCGUGCAUCGAUGAGAGUACCAUUCGAAUAAGCAUCGGCUAACUCCGUGCCAGCAGCCGCGGUAAUACGGAGGAUGCAAGCGUUAUCCGGAUUUAUUGGGUUUAAAGGGUGCGUAGGCUGUUUGUCAAGUCAGGGGUGAAAUGCCGAGGCUUAACCUUGGAAUUGCCUUUGAUACUGGCAGGCUUGAAUACAGUUGCCGUGGGAGGAAUGAGUAGUGUAGCGGUGAAAUGCAUAGAUAUUACUCAGAACACCGAUUGCGAAGGCAUCUCACGAAACUGCGAUUGACGCUGAGGCACGAAAGUGUGGGGAUCAAACAGGAUUAGAUACCCUGGUA
RNAcentral lists this ribosomal RNA (454 nucleotides) under uncultured Rikenella sp. RNAcentral describes it as "bacterial SSU rRNA". It matches the Rfam family "Bacterial small subunit ribosomal RNA", at positions 341 to 792 of the family's 1533-position model. The record is from RNAcentral. Lineage: Bacteria; Pseudomonadati; Bacteroidota; Bacteroidia; Bacteroidales; Rikenellaceae.